Molecule: long non-coding RNA, 199 nt
Filed under: Trifolium pratense (red clover)
Lineage: Eukaryota; Viridiplantae; Streptophyta; Magnoliopsida; Fabales; Fabaceae
Description: long non-coding RNA (TPRA_LNC009958)
Source: RNAcentral
UGUUUCAGAAGUAACCCGAGUAUUCUUAGCACCGCCUCUCCAGGCUGAUGUCGAGUAUUAUUACCACCGCCUCUCCAGGCCGACCUUCUUCGCGAUCUCCAUUAACCUUUUAUAUUCGAGGCACCAGAUAACAACACUCCAUGUUUUAUCCAUCAUCUCGAACAUUAAAAUUGCUUCCAUCUUCACUUUCCACAAUUCC